UUCCUGGACAACAUAGGAGUACGGUGACGUCAACGCGGGUAUUUGUCAGGUGUUGGAAGGAGGGGAAAACUCUUUCCUUUUAACAGAUGGACGCCUCUGGAACUGUGUGAAACAGAGAUAGAGGCAGACACUGGAAUAACUACCUUCUAUGGGUAGUCCUAAGCCAGCACUUGACCUAUGAAAAAUAUCUGCGUCUUAUGAUGUAGCCGUACCAAUAGCCGCAUCAGGUCUCCGAGACGUAAAGUCUUUGGUUCAAUGGAUGAAUGUAAGCAAGGGAAGUCGACAAGUUCGAUCCGUAACUUCGGGAAAAGGAUUGGCUUCGUGGACUUAGUGAGGCACAACUACAUAUGCGAGGAAUGUGACUCUUACGAGUUGCCCCUCUGCAUGUGCUAGUAACCUCACUAAACAAUACAUGAAACUGACGCGCAAACGAGGAAUCUGACUGUUUAAUCGAAACGUAGCAUCAUGCAGCGUGGUGUGGACAUGAUGUGAUUUCUGCUCAGUGCUUUGAAAGUUAAAGUUGAGCAACCGACAGAAGCGCAGGUCAACAGCGGGAGUAACUAUGACUCUCUUAAGGUAGCCAAAUGCCUCGUCAUCUAAUUAGUGACGUGCAUGAAUGGAGCAACGAGAUUCCUACUGUCCCUGUUUACUAUUCAGCGAAACCACAGCCAAGGGAACGGGCUUGGUACAAACAGCGGGGAAAGAAGACCCUGUUGAGCUUGACUCUAGUCUGGAUCGGUUUGGCGACUUGUUAGGUGUAGAAUAGGUGGGAGAAUUUCGCCAAUGAAAUACCACUACUAACACAGUUUCUGAACCCACGAUGUUAGUGCACCAUCAAAAUGCAUGUACAUCGGCAAAUUCAGAUCGGGAGUUUGGCUGGGGCGGCAUAUCUGUUAAAAGAUAACGCAGGUGUCCUAAGACGAGCUCAGGCAGAUCAGAAAUCUGCCGUAGACUGACAGGAGAAAAACUCGCUUGAUUGUAGUCUCCAGUACGGACUACAAAUGCUAACGCAUGGCCUAUCGAUCCUUACGCGUUGACUUUUUCAGCUAGAGGUGUCAGAAAAGUUACCACAGGGAUAACUGAUUCGUGGCGACCAAGAGUUCAUAUCGACGUCGCUUUUUGAUCAUUCGAUCUCGGCUCUUCCUAUCAUUGUGAAGCAGCAUUCACCAAGUGUCAGAUUGUUCAUCCGCUAAUAGGGAACGUGAUGUGGGUUU
Molecule: ribosomal RNA, 1214 nt
Filed under: marine metagenome
Description: eukaryotic LSU rRNA
Rfam family: Eukaryotic large subunit ribosomal RNA
Source: RNAcentral